This 484-nucleotide ribosomal RNA is filed under the name uncultured bacterium. Its description in RNAcentral is "partial 16S ribosomal RNA". It matches the Rfam family "Bacterial small subunit ribosomal RNA", at positions 30 to 507 of the family's 1533-position model. The record is from RNAcentral.
AUUGAACGCUGGCGGCAGGCCUAACACAUGCAAGUCGAGCGGAUGAAGGGAGCUUGCUCCUGGAUUCAGCGGCGGACGGGUGAGUAAUGCCUAGGAAUCUGCCUGGUAGUGGGGGAUAACGUCCGGAAACGGGCGCUAAUACCGCAUACGUCCUGAGGGAGAAAGUGGGGGAUCUUCGGACAUCACGCUAUCAGAUGAGCCUAGGUCGGAUUAGCUAGUUGGUGGGGUAAAGGCCUACCAAGGCGACGAUCCGUAACUGGUCUGAGAGGAUGAUCAGUCACACUGGAACUGAGACACGGUCCAGACUCCUACGGGAGGCAGCAGUGGGGAAUAUUGGACAAUGGGCGAAAGCCUGAUCCAGCCAUGCCGCGUGUGUGAAGAAGGUCUUCGGAUUGUAAAGCACUUUAAGUUGGGAGGAAGGGCAGUAAGUUAAUACCUUGCUGUUUUGACGGUACCAAAAGAAUAAGCACCGGCUAACUUCGUG